GAUGAACGCUGGCGGCGUGCCUAAUACAUGCAAGUCGAGCGAACAGACGAUGAGCUUGCUCCUCUGACGUUAGCGGCGGACGGGUGAGUAACACGUGGAUCACCUACCUAUAAGUCUGGGAUAACUUCGGGAAACCGGAGCUUAUCCCGGAUAAUAUAUUGAACCGCAUGGUUCAAUAGUGAAAUACGGUUUUGCUGUCACUUAUAGCUGGAUCCGCGCCGCAUUAGCUAGUUGGUAAGGUAACGGCUUAUCAAGGCGACGAUGCGUAACCGACCUGAGAGGGUGAUCGGCGACACUGGAAGUGAGCCACGGUCCAGACUACUACGAGAGGCAGCAGUAGGGAAUCUUCCGCAAUAGGCGAAAGCUUGACGGAGCAACGCCGCGUGAGUGAUGAAGGUCUUCGGAUCGUAAAACUCUGUUAUUAGGGAAGAACAAAUGUGUAAGUAACUAUGCACGUCUUGACGGUACCUAAUCAGAAAGCCACGGCUAACUACGUG
Molecule: ribosomal RNA, 497 nt
Filed under: uncultured bacterium
Lineage: Bacteria
Description: partial 16S ribosomal RNA
Rfam family: Bacterial small subunit ribosomal RNA
Source: RNAcentral